RNAcentral lists this ribosomal RNA (123 nucleotides) under Exutisphaerella laricina. The record is from RNAcentral. Lineage: Eukaryota; Fungi; Ascomycota; Dothideomycetes; Mycosphaerellales; Mycosphaerellaceae.
ACAUACGACCACAGACUGUUGAAUAUUGGCCAUCCCGUCCGCUCUGGCAUACACAAGCAACAGAUCGCAGGAUUAGUACUACGGUGGGUGACCACGUGGGAAUACCCUGUGUUGUAUGUUUUG